RNAcentral lists this long non-coding RNA (439 nucleotides) under Homo sapiens (human). RNAcentral's name for it is "HSALNT0358888". The record is from RNAcentral. Lineage: Eukaryota; Metazoa; Chordata; Mammalia; Primates; Hominidae.
UGCUGCCACUGUUACCUGCUUGAUGAGACCCUUACAGCUUUUCUUAGAUGCCUCAGGCUGGACAGAAGGGAUUCCUGGCCUGCUGGGUACCUGUCCUUUUAGAAUCUUACCAUCAUCCUGAGGAUUCCAUUUGCUUCUGUUGCAUUGGAUCCUCUAUUUCUUGGAUUCCUUAUUGUUCUCCUUGAUUUACUCCAUCGAUUUGGCAGGACAUAUCCUGUAGUGGUUUCCCGAGAAAGAGCGUGUUAUAGGACUUCCACCCCAGCUACCUCCCAGGUCCUGAGGAUUUGGUGUGCAAACUUAGAGCUACAUCAUCAGCUUUCCUGGUUCUGAGGCCUUCAGACUUGGACUGAGCCACUCAACUGGCAUCUCAAGGUCUCCAGCUUGCUGACAGCCUGCUGUGGGACAUCUCAGCCUCCAUAACUGUGUAAGCCAAUUCCCC